Molecule: long non-coding RNA, 578 nt
Organism: Lycium ferocissimum
Lineage: Eukaryota; Viridiplantae; Streptophyta; Magnoliopsida; Solanales; Solanaceae
Exons: 2
Source: RefSeq, a predicted model, not a curated record
GUGUGGUAGACUGUUCUCCAAUCAAGUGUGGACAGUUAAAUACUAUGUAAAAAGAUACUCUUUGCAAGUUUGAAGAACACAUAAUAUGCAAGGGUUACAGGUCAUGGGGAAGAACAGCAAAAGGUACGUCAGAACAAAGCAGCAUUCUUGAUGCUCGGAAUAAGUUUAGCUACUGUUUUACCUUUUUUUUUAUAUAAGGAGCUACUGUUUUACUUCUUCUAAUGCAGAUUUACUGAAACCAACACUAUUUUGUCAAAGUGACACAGAUAGCAACCAAGAAAGAGGAAACAGUUUUCUAUUCAUACUAUUUUCUUCACUCCUGAUUUAGAGGACGGGAGGAACAGAUAUUUAGACUAUUUUCUCACCUUCACUACCCAUACGAAGUGCCUCAGCAAAUGUGGAUGCUCCAACAGGUAGAAUCAUGAACUCUUGCAUAGCCAAAUUGUUACCGGCAUGGCUCCCUCCAUUUAUCACAUUGAACGCUGGAACUGGCAUUACAAGUUCUUUGGUUCCAGAUAUUUCUUGAAUGUGUUUAUACAAAGGUACUGCUUUUGCUCCAGCACCAGCUCUACACACAC